RNAcentral lists this long non-coding RNA (1301 nucleotides) under Chrysemys picta bellii (western painted turtle). Its description in RNAcentral is "lncRNA (ENSCPBG00000016535.1)". The record is from RNAcentral. Lineage: Eukaryota; Metazoa; Chordata; Testudines; Emydidae.
AGUCUUUUUUCCCUUGAUGGUUUUAACUGUAGUUGAAUAUCACUUCAAUCCUAAAAUUGGGAAACUAUUCUGAAUUAAGAGCAGGUCUCUAGUAACUUGUACUACAGGCAGAUGCUGCUGCAGUAAAACAUUUAACCCGGGACACCUUAACCCUAAAGAACAACCUAGUGCUCAGAACCUUGGAAUCCCUUCUUUCAGCUCACUCAUAUUUUAACAGAAGUUAGUCGUGCAUGUGAGACUCGAGGCUUUAUAUAAAUGUUUCUCCAAGACACUUUGAUACUGUACUUAAAAUGAAUUAGGAUCUUCACUCUGCUAUGAUUUUACCUGACAUAAUGCACACGCACGCUGUGUGUGUGUGUAUAAUUAACGGAUGGAACUCUGGGGAUGCCCAGAAAAAAGCAGUGUCCUUUAGCUCUCUAAAAAGUCAGUAUUCUCCUACAAAGAACAUGGCAGGAAGGGCCUUAUUUUUGGCCCAAUUAUAAAUGACACCAAUCUGCAUUGUCACCAGUGCAACUUGCUAGAGUACUCCCAUGAGUGCAGAAUAUAAAGAUUUUUCUUAACUCACAGAAAAAUAUAUAAAAGUUAAAAAAUGUGAUCUCAACCAAUCCAGUCUCUUUCCUACCCCUUAUCUUUGGGCAUGAAUUACAAAAGUAAUUCUGACAAUGGCUGUCAGUUCCCAGAGUUUAUGUUGCUUGCGUUAUUUGUGCUUUUUAUAACACCAUGCAAAUGUGAAAUCGGUUACGUUUGUACAAAAUUAUAUACCUAUGUACGUUAAGCCAUAUUGCAAUAACUGCAACAGGUAAAACAAAAUAACAAUAGCAUGACCUGUGUAACCCUUUGUAGUUCCAAAGCUGUUAAUAAUAUGUAAAGUUAUUUCUUGUCUAAAUCUCAUUUAAAGAAAGCUAGCGUUUCACAAUGGAAAUGGUCUGUUGGUAGAAGCGGAGAAGCAAGUGCUUAAAUCUUGCUUGUUUUUUAUAUUAAUCCUGGGCCUAGCUAAGCAAUGCAACAAAUGUGAACUGUAUAACCAAUGUUUCUCCUUGUUACAGACAUCUAUAAAAUAGGGCACCAUUAAGACCUUCCUAAUGGUGCAAGGAACAUCUCUCUACACACAGAUACUACUUUGUUCCAGCCAAUUGCUUUGGCCCCUGAAAUACUCAGGCUGCAACCUGUAGCUUGUGCUUAAACUCCAAGCUUGCAGCUUCCUCUAAUCCAAUGUACUGGGUUUAAAAAAAUGUUGAUUUUCUAUUUUCUGUUUUUAAGGUAGAUUUUCACUGACUAAAUAAAGUACAACCACAAGUUCA